CUCAAAUCAGGUAGGACUACCCGCUGAACUUAAGCAUAUCA
RNAcentral lists this ribosomal RNA (41 nucleotides) under Papiliotrema laurentii. Its description in RNAcentral is "partial 28S ribosomal RNA". RNAcentral also lists the same sequence under 1 other name. The record is from RNAcentral. Lineage: Eukaryota; Fungi; Basidiomycota; Tremellomycetes; Tremellales; Rhynchogastremaceae.